GCAAGUCGAACGGCAGCAUAGGAACUUGUUCCUGAUGGCGAGUGGCGGACGGGUGAGUAAAGUGUAGGAAUCAACCUAUAAGUUCGGGACAACUUGGGGAAACUCAAGCUAAUACCGGAUGUGUCUUACGAGGUAAAGCAGGGGAUCUUCGGACCUUGCGCUUAUAGACGAGCCUACAUCAGAUUAGCUAGUUGGUAGGGUAAAGGCCUACCAAGGCGACGAUCUGUAGCUGGUCUGAGAGGAUGAUC
Molecule: ribosomal RNA, 248 nt
Filed under: uncultured bacterium
Lineage: Bacteria
Description: partial 16S ribosomal RNA
Rfam family: Bacterial small subunit ribosomal RNA
Source: RNAcentral